RNAcentral lists this non-coding RNA (45 nucleotides) under Trichobilharzia regenti. The record is from RNAcentral. Lineage: Eukaryota; Metazoa; Platyhelminthes; Trematoda; Strigeidida; Schistosomatidae.
ACCCAGCUGACGAUUACCAAAUAGGACGAAAUGCGCAUCCUGGAU